GCUGAAUAUACCGGUUCUCGUUAGAUCACCGAAGUCAAGCAUCAUUGGGCGAUGUCAGUAGUUGGGUGGGUGACCACCUGGGAACACCGCGUGCCGUU
This is a non-coding RNA of Caerostris darwini, 98 nucleotides long. The record is from the annotation of a GenBank genome assembly. Lineage: Eukaryota; Metazoa; Arthropoda; Arachnida; Araneae; Araneidae.